UACGGGGGGGGCAAGCGUUGUUCGGAAUUACUGGGCGUAAAGGGCUCGUAGGCGGCCAACUAAGUCGGAUGUGAAAUCCCCAGGCUCAACCUGGGAACUGCAUCCGAUACUGGAUGGCUUGAAUUCGGGAGAGGGAUGCAGAAUUCCAGGUGUAGCGGUGAAAUGCGUAGAUAUCUGGAGGAAUACCGGUGGCGAAGGCGGCAUCCUGGACCGGUACUGACGCUGAUGCGCGAAAGCGUGGGGAGCGAACAGG
This 253-nucleotide ribosomal RNA is filed under the name uncultured bacterium. Its description in RNAcentral is "partial 16S ribosomal RNA". It matches the Rfam family "Bacterial small subunit ribosomal RNA", at positions 524 to 776 of the family's 1533-position model. The record is from RNAcentral.